Molecule: long non-coding RNA, 2682 nt
Organism: Schistocerca piceifrons (Central American locust)
Lineage: Eukaryota; Metazoa; Arthropoda; Insecta; Orthoptera; Acrididae
Exons: 4
Source: RefSeq, a predicted model, not a curated record
GGACACGUGGGCCGCAUGGCUGAUUCUCCGGCAGACGACGCAAGCACAGGAAGACCGUCACGAAGGGCUCUGACGACACGCUGUGCCUUACUCGUAUUCGUGGUCAUAGGUAGCCUGUUGUUCCUUGGAGGAAUGUUUUUCAAGUUCGUCUCUAGCUCCACAGAUGACAGAAACUUCAGCAUGCAGAGGCACAGCAACACUCGUGUCUGAGAGUAUUACUUGAUAGACAUCUCAUCAUCUGGUGAUUAAUACAGAUGAGCAGCAACACAGCGUCUGUGUUGGCGAGAGUGGUGUGGCUUCUGCUGCCGCACGGAUACGAUGCCAGGAAUCGCCAUCGCUACGCGGACAACGGCUGCCGCCAUCUUCUGCCCAUGUUCAUCUCCCGGCAGCAGUUUCCCUGCAAUGAGUGCAUGUGCGUCCAACACCAAAGCCAGCCUGUAUUCAGUGUGACGUUCCUAACCUUAAUACAGUGAGAAUCGCAGACGGCACCACAAGACUCGCAAUGGCUCAUGUUUCACCUCUCUAGGCAAUAUACUCGCUUAGGAUUCGAUGUGAAGAUAUUUGAAUUCUUGAGCAGUUUGCGGCAGUGCCAGCUGCUCGUCAACGAAGAACAUAUCUUGCAGAUCAGAGUUAACCCGUUAACGAAAAUAAUUCUGUAUCGAAUUCCGUCUUGUGAAGGCAAAAGCAGUUUUGAUUGAAUAUUUUCGGAAGCACUGACUCUGUUGGAACAACAAUGUUGUUAAGCCGUGGAAGGCAUCGUGUAUAAAAUGAGACCUCUUAACAGUACUAAUGCUCAGAGGAACUAUGUUCUUAUGUAAAAGAUUCCUUACUUUAUACUUUAUUGUAUUUAUACUUCUUCCUUAUGUUAUUUAUUGUUAUUAAUUUUAAAUUUAAUCGCCUAAUCGUUUUCAUCUAAGAUUUGAGUAUUAAGUAUUUUCUUGAGUAAUUUAAGGUACGCAUUAGUAUUUUAUAUAGUUACUCCUCGAUAUCUGUGUUCUACAAUCUCUCUUUCGCAAAACUGUCAUCCAAUGGGUCUGCAUCUACAUUUAUUCUGUUCAAACCAAUAUAAAGUGCAUGGUAGAGGGUACAUGUCAUUGUGCCACUUUUUAGGAUUAUAUCUCAUUCCAUCUGUGAAUGGAGUGCAGGAUCAGUAACUGCUUAAACGCAUAAUUGUGGUCGUUUCGGAACCGUUAGGUAUCGGGCUCUAAUAUUUUUGUGGAUUCCUUACUUUAUACUGUUCCUUGGAACUGGCAUUCGCUGGAUAGCUGACGUCUAUCUUCCAGCUUAUACCGCAACUGGUGUCUUAUUAUCUCUGUGCCGUAUUUUCAUGGGUCCAAAACGUGUGACCAUUUGCGCUGUCCUUAUUUGUAUAUGUUCAGCUAUUGCUGCCAGUCGUACUAUUUUUCUAGAAUCACAGUGUUAAUGGGUUGACCCGAGUACUGACCAUUGCCAGACAACCCCCCUGUCGAUAAAGCAACUCCGCAGAGGCCAUCACUUCCGUACUGCUGUUUCUGUAUGCCAAGAAACUGGAACAGUAACCAGCCUCGAAGACGAUUUUGCAGUUUAACACACUGUCAACAGACACACGACAAUCACCGACCCUGACCGAGACAUUUCCAAAAUGCCAAAAAAUGCAUUCCUUCCGCAAAGACAGCACCGAACAUUUGAGUUUAAACUCCUACCCUAUCAGUUGUCAUCAUUGGCCACCUGGGCAACAUAGCUGCACUCAGUCUGAAGUCUUCCCCUUAACAAUGUCGCAAUCACCACGGCUGGCACUGGGAUCCAAACCACGGACCACUGCCUAACUCUUCAGACCUCUGGCAGCCCUCGCUCUUCUUCCAUCUGAAGGAGAUUGGUCGCCAAUGUUAUUGCCGCCCCACCAUGGCCAAGGCGUGAACUGAAAAACGUACCAGCACUGUGCUGUCCCAGUCUUUCCGCCACACUCAGCCUCUCUCCAGCUUCCAGUGUUAAACACCAGGUAGCAUCGUGACCUGACACAAGUGAUAAGACGCCACUGCCUUUACAUGUACAGUACUGGGCCGCGACCAGGGCCUUGCCUGGCACUGUUGACUGAGCUCCCAGCGUGCUGGCGUCCUGACAGUGUGCGUUCGCUACAAUCUGUGAGCAGCCAUGCUUGCCGGUACAAGUCAGAAUGUUACGAGCCGAUACAAAACUGCGCCAAUGGUAAGAAAUGACUGACCAAGUUCAAUGAAUUACUAGGGGACUAUUUUACGUUCAUCAUCUUGUUUACCCACAGACAGGUCCACCGUCUGAAGUCCUAAACGAUGUAGCGUUUUGUUGAAAGUAGUGAAAAAUAAAUACUGUAUGCCCUUUUUCUUACGUAGAGGAGAUACUUUCAGUAAUUUGAACUUCGUUUCUUAGAUUAAGUUUCUUGCCAUAAGAUACACUGAAGAGCCAAAGGAAAUGGUACAGCUGCCUAAUACCGUGUAGGCCCCGCACGAGCACGCAGAAGUUCCGCGACACGACGUGGCAUGGACUCGACUAAUGCCUGAAGUAGUGCUGGUGGAAAGUGACACCAUGAAUCCUGCAGGGCUGUCCUUCAACCCGCAAGAUAACUAGGAGGUUGGGAUCUCUUCUGAACAGCACGUUGCAAGGCAUCUCAGAUAUGCUCCAUAAUGUUAAUGUCCGGAGAGUUUGAUGGCUAGCGGAAGUGUUUCAACU